UGGGGAAUCUUCCGCAAUGGACGAAAGUCUGACGGAGCAACGCCGCGUGAGUGAUGACGGCCUUCGGGUUGUAAAGCUCUGUUAAUCGGGACGAAUGGUUCUUGUGCAAAUAGUGCGAGGAUUUGACGGUACCGGAAUAGAAAGCCACGGCUAACUACGUGCCAGCAGCCGCGGUAAUACGUAGGUGGCAAGCGUUGUCCGGAAUUAUUGGGCGUAAAGCGCGCGCAGGCGGAUUGGUCAGUCUGUCUUAAAAGUUCGGGGCUUAACCCCGUGAUGGGAUGGAAACUGCCAAUCUAGAGUAUCGGAGAGGAAAGUGGAAUUCCUAGUGUAGCGGUGAAAUGCGUAGAUAUUAGGAAGAACACCAGUGGCGAAGGCGACUUUCUGGACGAAAACUGACGCUGAGGCGCGAAAGCCAGGGGAGCGAACGGGAUUAGAUACCCCGGUAGUCCUGGCCGUAAACGAUGGGUACUAGGUGUAGGAGGUAUCGGCCCCUUCUGUGCCGGAGUUAACGCAAUAAGUACCCCGCCUGGGGAGUACGACCGCAAGGUUG
Molecule: ribosomal RNA, 550 nt
Filed under: uncultured bacterium
Lineage: Bacteria
Description: bacterial SSU rRNA
Rfam family: Bacterial small subunit ribosomal RNA
Source: RNAcentral